ACAAGUCACUGGCUGCUUGGCCAAAGAGAUAUACCUAUAAAUUCUUACGCGAACGAAUACAGGUUGAAAAAUCUACCUCUGAUCUCCCGAGAGGUUGUCGUCUUGAUCUCCUCAUAAUAAUGGCGCGUUUUCAGUCAUGUCGUUUUUAGCACUUCAGCAAUUACUAUCGUUAUCAUGUUUCCGUUAUUUGUUUAGGUGCAGAUUUAAAUAAUGCAUAGUCAUGUUGGUACUAGUGUACUUAAUAUAGUGAACAUGAUAAUUUUAAUCGAGAAAAUACCUGUAUGGAGCUAAGCUUCGAACGCUGGAGAAGUACUAUAGUGUCAGCUGUUCCUUACCAGUGAACUAAAAUAACACCCUUUAUUUUUCGAGCACCAUCCGGAAUAUUCGAGCGGUUCCAAGCAGUGCUGUUUUCUGCAAGUGCUCCAUCCUUAUUGCAGCCCCUAUUCGUUCCAUGUAUUUCUCAAGAUUUUUUACUCACUGUUCCAAAGGUGGUACUACUACCACCUUUUUCGGCGACCAGAACUGCUUAACCUCCGAAGCUAACCUGUCAUAUCUAUCGACUUUUCUUUCUUACUUAUUGCAUACCUCAUUAUUGUUAUUAUUAUUAAGCAAUGUUUCCUCGUAUUGUAAAUAUUUUCAUAUAUACUUUUACUGAUUGACGUACAACCAAGGAUAUUAAAAUCCACUAGACGGAGAGGGCCAUCCAGAAUUUCAUCCGUUAAAUGUCACACAAUGUAAUGUCUAUUUUUGUAUAUAAAAGUUUAAAGAUCAGUUUUUCAAGUGGACCCAACAA
Molecule: long non-coding RNA, 793 nt
Organism: Octopus bimaculoides (California two-spot octopus)
Lineage: Eukaryota; Metazoa; Mollusca; Cephalopoda; Octopoda; Octopodidae
Source: RefSeq, a predicted model, not a curated record